This 217-nucleotide unclassified non-coding RNA is filed under the name Hevea brasiliensis (rubber tree). The record is from RNAcentral. Lineage: Eukaryota; Viridiplantae; Streptophyta; Magnoliopsida; Malpighiales; Euphorbiaceae.
GAUGCAUUAUAUGUGCCCAUGAUCUGUGCUGAGGAUUAUUAUUUUUUUUCCACCAAAUGACAACACAAAUGGCUGGUUAUUCAAUCUGUAAAUUAAACAGAUGGUACUUCUGUGCUUAAGCUAUAAUUUAAACUUUAUUUGUAACACAGUUUCUUAAUAUGUUCAUCUGUUGCCUAUAAUACACCCCUGCACAGAUCAUGGGCACAUAUAAUGCAUC